CUACGGGAGGCUGCAGUGGGGAAUAUUGCACAAUGGAGGAAACUCUGAUGCAGCAACGCCGCGUGAAGGAUGACACUUUUCGGAGCGUAAACUCCUUUUAUAUAGGAAGAAGAUGACGGUACUAUAUGAAUAAGCGCCGGCUAACUCCGUGCCAGCAGCCGCGGGUAAUACGGAGGGCGCAAGCGUUACUCGGAAUCACUGGGCGUAAAGAGCGUGUAGGCGGAUUAAAAAGUCAGAAGUGAAAUCCUAUAGCUUAACUAUAGAACUGCUUCUGAAACUCUUAAUCUAGAAUAUGGGAGAGGUAGAUGGAAUUUCUGGUGUAGGGGUAAAAUCCGUAGAGAUCAGAAGGAAUACCGAUUGCGAAGGCGAUCUACUAGAACAUUAUUGACGCUGAGACGCGAAAGCGUGGGGAGCAAACAGGAUUAGAUACCCCAGUAGUC
Molecule: ribosomal RNA, 440 nt
Filed under: uncultured bacterium
Lineage: Bacteria
Description: partial 16S ribosomal RNA
Rfam family: Bacterial small subunit ribosomal RNA
Source: RNAcentral